GUGAGGAAUAUUGGUCAAUGGGCGCAAGCCUGAUCCAGCCAUGCCGCGUGCAGGAAGACGCAUCUAUGGUGUGUAAACUGCUUUUGUACGGGAAGAAACACUCCCUCGUGAGGGAGCUUGACGGUACCGUAAGAAUAAGGAUCGGCUAACUCCGUGCCAGCAGCCGCGGUAAUACGGAGGAUCCAAGCGUUAUCCGGAAUCAUUGGGUUUAAAGGGUCCGUAGGCGGUUUAAUAAGUCAGUGGUGAAAGCCCAUCGCUCAACGAUGGAACGGCCAUUGAUACUGUUAGACUUGAAUUACAAGGAAGUAACUAGAAUAUGUAGUGUAGCGGUGAAAUGCUUAGAUAUUACAUGGAAUACCAAUUGCGAAGGCAGGUUACUACUUGUGGAUUGACGCUGAUGGACGAAAGCGUGGGGAGCGAACAGGAUUAGAUACCCGGGUAGUCC
This 445-nucleotide ribosomal RNA is filed under the name uncultured bacterium. RNAcentral's name for it is "partial 16S ribosomal RNA". It matches the Rfam family "Bacterial small subunit ribosomal RNA", at positions 354 to 796 of the family's 1533-position model. The record is from RNAcentral.